Molecule: unclassified non-coding RNA, 226 nt
Filed under: uncultured fungus
Lineage: Eukaryota; Fungi
Description: sequence contains ITS1, 5.8S rRNA gene
Rfam family: 5.8S ribosomal RNA (bases 178-226)
Source: RNAcentral
UCUCCGUAGGUGCACCUGCGGAGAGCUCAUUACUGAGUGAGGGCUUCGGUCCGACCUCCAACCCUUUUUGAACCAAACUUGUUUCUUCGGGGGCGACCCUGCCGCUUCGGCGGUGCGGCGCCCCCGGAGGCCAUUAAACACUGCAUCAUUGCGUCGGAGUUAAAGUAAAUUAAACAAAACUUUCAACAACGGAUCUCUUGGUUCCAGCAUCGAUGCAGAACGCAGC